Molecule: ribosomal RNA, 468 nt
Filed under: uncultured bacterium
Lineage: Bacteria
Description: partial 16S ribosomal RNA
Rfam family: Bacterial small subunit ribosomal RNA
Source: RNAcentral
GACGAACGCUGGCGGCGUGCUUAACACAUGCAAGUCGAACGGUAAGGCCCUGCUUUUGUGGCGUGCUCGUGUGGCGAAAGGGUGUGUAACACGUGUGUAACCUGCCCUUUACUUUGGGAUAACUUCUUGUAACUCGGGCUCUUACCGGAUAUGAUCUCCUGCUGCAUGGUGGUGGUUUGAAAGUUUCGGCGGUUGGGGAUGGACUCGCGGCUUAUCAGCUUUUUUGUUGAGUAGUGGCUUACCAAGGCUUUGACGGGUAGCCGGCCUGAGAGGGUGACCGGCGACAAUGGGACAGAGAAACGGGCAAGAGGGAAACGGGAGGCAGCAGUGGGAAAUAGUGCAAAAUGGGCGGAAGCAUGAUGCAGCAACGCCGCGUGCGGGAAGACGGCCUUCGGGUAGGAAAGCGGGUGAGACUGUGAAGAAGAGUGAGUGACGGUAAUGGGUAAAGAAGCAACGGCUAACUACGUG